GGCCGGUUAGCUCAGCUGGUUAGAGCGUGGUGCUAAUAACGCCAAGGUCGCGGGUUCGACCCCCGUACGGGCCA
Molecule: transfer RNA, 74 nt
Organism: Chlorocebus sabaeus (green monkey)
Lineage: Eukaryota; Metazoa; Chordata; Mammalia; Primates; Cercopithecidae
Rfam family: tRNA
About the family: Transfer RNA (tRNA) molecules are approximately 80 nucleotides in length. Their secondary structure includes four short double-helical elements and three loops (D, anti-codon, and T loops).
Source: Rfam